AUUGAACGCUGGCGGCAGGCCUAACACAUGCAAGUCGAACGGUAACAGGAAGAAGCUUGCUUCUUUGCUGACGAGUGGCGGACGGGUGAGUAAUGUCUGGGAAACUGCCUGAUGGAGGGGGAUAACUACUGGAAACGGUAGCUAAUACCGCAUAACGUCGCAAGACCAAAGAGGGGGACCUUCGGGCCUCUUGCCAUCGGAUGUGCCCAGAUGGGAUUAGCUAGUAGGUGGGGUAACGGCUCACCUAGGCGACGAUCCCUAGCUGGUCUGAGAGGAUGACCAGCCACACUGGAACUGAGACACGGUCCAGACUCCUACGGGAGGCAGCAGUGGGGAAUAUUGCACAAUGGGCGCAAGCCUGAUGCAGCCAUGCCGCGUGUAUGAAGAAGGCCUUCGGGUUGUAAAGUACUUUCAGCGGGGAGGAAGGGAGUAAAGUUAAUACCUUUGCUCAUUGACGUUACCCGCAGAAGAAGCACCGGCAAACUCCGUG
This 490-nucleotide ribosomal RNA is filed under the name uncultured bacterium. RNAcentral describes it as "partial 16S ribosomal RNA". It matches the Rfam family "Bacterial small subunit ribosomal RNA", at positions 30 to 507 of the family's 1533-position model. The record is from RNAcentral.